This 800-nucleotide ribosomal RNA is filed under the name Novosphingobium sp. RNAcentral's name for it is "bacterial SSU rRNA". It matches the Rfam family "Bacterial small subunit ribosomal RNA", at positions 65 to 911 of the family's 1533-position model. Lineage: Bacteria; Pseudomonadati; Pseudomonadota; Alphaproteobacteria; Sphingomonadales; Sphingomonadaceae. The record is from RNAcentral.
AACGAAGCCUUCGGGCUUAGUGGCGCACGGGUGCGUAACGCGUGGGAAUCUGCCCUUGGGUUCGGAAUAACAGUGAGAAAUUACUGCUAAUACCGGAUGAUGUCUUCGGACCAAAGAUUUAUCGCCCAGGGAUGAGCCCGCGUUAGAUUAGCUAGUUGGUGGGGUAAUGGCCUACCAAGGCGACGAUCUAUAGCUGGUCUGAGAGGAUGAUCAGCCACACUGGGACUGAGACACGGCCCAGACUCCUACGGGAGGCAGCAGUGGGGAAUAUUGGACAAUGGGCGAAAGCCUGAUCCAGCAAUGCCGCGUGAGUGAUGAAGGCCUUAGGGUUGUAAAGCUCUUUUACCAGGGAUGAUAAUGACAGUACCUGGAGAAUAAGCUCCGGCUAACUCCGUGCCAGCAGCCGCGGUAAUACGGAGGGAGCUAGCGUUGUUCGGAAUUACUGGGCGUAAAGCGCGCGUAGGCGGUGACUCAAGUCAGAGGUGAAAGCCCGGGGCUCAACCCCGGAACUGCCUUUGAAACUAGGUCGCUAGAAUCUUGGAGAGGCGAGUGGAAUUCCGAGUGUAGAGGUGAAAUUCGUAGAUAUUCGGAAGAACACCAGUGGCGAAAGCGACUCGCUGGACAAGUAUUGACGCUGAGGUGCGAAAGUGUGGGGAGCAAACAGGAUUAGAUACCCUGGUAGUCCACACCGUAAACGAUGAUAACUAGCUGUCCGGGCUCUUGGAGUUUGGGUGGCGCAGCUAACGCAUUAAGUUAUCCGCCUGGGGAGUACGGUCGCAAGAUUAAAACUCAAAGGAAUU